RNAcentral lists this long non-coding RNA (1211 nucleotides) under Canis lupus familiaris (dog). RNAcentral's name for it is "lncRNA (ENSCAFG00845030059.1)". Lineage: Eukaryota; Metazoa; Chordata; Mammalia; Carnivora; Canidae. The record is from RNAcentral.
GUUGGUAUGUAGGGUUUUCCUUUCCUUUUCUUUUUUUUUUUUUUUUUUUUGUAGGGUUUUUCAAUCCGGGCAGCAUUAUUGAUGUUUGGGGCCAGAUAAUCCUCUGCCGUGGGGCUGUCCUGGACAGGGUGGGACAGUUAGCAGCACCGCUGAUCUCCAUCUACUGGCAGGCCAGUGGCAACACCCCCAUUGUGACCACCACAGAUGUCUCCUGGGAGGCAAAACAGCCCCCCAACUUCAGUGGUUGAGAGCCACUGAAUUUGACAAUGAGGCUGGGAGGAGAGAUGGCAUUUGAUACUCUGGGUCAUCCUAGGUCCUGCACCACCUGGGAGCUCAUCAGACUUGCAGACCCCUCACCCCACCUGAAGUGGGAUGCUGGUUUUCACAAGAUCGCUGUGUGAAUGUUUGAGAAUAUGGCCAGGGCACCGGUGUGGUGUCCCCUGGAAGCAGUUUUAUUGAAACAGCAAUUCACCAUCUGCAUCCAGACAACAUGAGAUCAGAGCCAGAGGUCAGUGUGGAAGGGACGUGAUGGUGGGCGGUGUCGGAACCUCCCAGACAAGGACCCAAGGUGGCUGGGUUCCUUACAGGAGAGCUCCACCAGAUGACUGCAGCUCAAGUACUCCUGAAGUUCGGCCUUUGCUGCUGCGUAGAAUAAACCACAUCUCCAGCUGACACAGCAGCUUUACCGGUAAGAGAAAUCUGAGGACUCCUGGAGUUAAUUCAAGCAACUUCUCCAGAACAGCUACUUCUGCUUAUUUCAUCCGCAUACUUUUGAUUACGUUUUUAUUUUCCUUCCCUGCUCUCAAAAUGCAUUUUUCCUGCUUGCCAUUUAAUUGAUAAACUGCCAUUAAGUCCAAAUUUGAAAUUCUUAAAACCCACUAGGAAAGGUACACAAUAGCGUCUGCUGUUGUGGAGUUUCCUUGGCUCCACAAGUCUAGUGUCUCCCCAAUUUUACAUUUUAAGAUGUUUAGUUGUUUUUCCUAAAAAAGAAAAAAAAAUCAGUGGCAAGCGUUUUGUCUGUAAUCUUCUAAUAAGUUUGUGCAGGACAAAAAGCACACUUCAGUCCACCCAAGUAUCUGGUUUUCACUAAGAAGGAGAGGUUGGUGAGACUCGAUCGGUAUUGCUUAUGGAACAGGCUUUUUUUGGGGGGUGGGGAGCAGUGAUUUAUUCCCCGUGACAUCGCGUGGCCCUAAGCCAGAACUUAGAACUGA